RNAcentral lists this ribosomal RNA (253 nucleotides) under uncultured bacterium. Its description in RNAcentral is "partial 16S ribosomal RNA". It matches the Rfam family "Bacterial small subunit ribosomal RNA", at positions 524 to 776 of the family's 1533-position model. The record is from RNAcentral.
UACGAAGGGGGCUAGCGUUGUUCGGAAUUACUGGGCGUAAAGCGCACGUAGGCGGGCUGAUAAGUUGGGGGUGAAAUCCCGAGGCUCAACCUCGGAACUGCCUUUGAUACUGUUAGUCUUGAGAUCGGGAGAGGUGAGUGGAAUUCCUAGUGUAGAGGUGAAAUUCGUAGAUAUUAGGAAGAACACCAGUGGCGAAGGCGGCUCACUGGCCCGAUACUGACGCUGAGGUGCGAAAGCGUGGGGAGCAAACAGG